RNAcentral lists this ribosomal RNA (253 nucleotides) under uncultured bacterium. Its description in RNAcentral is "partial 16S ribosomal RNA". It matches the Rfam family "Bacterial small subunit ribosomal RNA", at positions 524 to 776 of the family's 1533-position model. The record is from RNAcentral.
UACGGAGGAUGCAAGCGUUAUCCGGAUUUAUUGGGCGUAAAGCGUCCGCAGGUGGUUUUCCAAGUCUGCUGUUAAAGCGCGAGGCUUAACCUCGUACAGGCAGUGGAAACUGGAUGACUAGAGUAUGGUAGGGGUAGCGGGAAUUCCCAGUGUAGCGGUGAAAUGCGUAGAUAUUGGGAAGAACACCAGCGGCGAAAGCACGCUACUGGGCCAUUACUGACACUCAUGGACGAAAGCUAGGGGAGCGAAAGGG